GAACGCUUCUUUCCUCCCGAGUGCUUGCACUCAAUUGGAAAGAGGAGUGGCGGACGGGUGAGUAACACGUGGGUAACCUACCCAUCAGAGGGGGAUAACACUUGGAAACAGGUGCUAAUACCGCAUAACAGUUUAUGCCGCAUGGCAUAAGAGUGAAAGGCGCUUUCGGGUGUCGCUGAUGGAUGGACCCGCGGUGCAUUAGCUAGUUGGUGAGGUAACGGCUCACCAAGGCCACGAUGCAUAGCCGACCUGAGAGGGUGAUCGGCCACACUGGGACUGAGACACGGCCCAGACUCCUACGGGAGGCAGCAGUAGGGAAUCUUCGGCAAUGGACGAAAGUCUGACCGAGCAACGCCGCGUGAGUGAAGAAGGUUUUCGGAUCGUAAAACUCUGUUGUUAGAGAAGAACAAGGACGUUAGUAACUGAACGUCCCCUGACGGUAUCUAACCAGAAAGCCACGGCUAACUACGUGCCAGCAGCCGCGGUAAUACGUAGGUGGCAAGCGUUGUCCGGAUUUAUUGGGCGUAAAGCGAGCGCAGGCGGUUUCUUAAGUCUGAUGUGAAAGCCCCCGGCUCAACCGGGGAGGGUCAUUGGAAACUGGGAGACUUGAGUGCAGAAGAGGAGAGUGGAAUUCCAUGUGUAGCGGUGAAAUGCGUAGAUAUAUGGAGGAACACCAGUGGCGAAGGC
Molecule: ribosomal RNA, 687 nt
Filed under: uncultured Enterococcus sp.
Lineage: Bacteria; Bacillati; Bacillota; Bacilli; Lactobacillales; Enterococcaceae
Description: bacterial SSU rRNA
Rfam family: Bacterial small subunit ribosomal RNA
Source: RNAcentral